CUUGUCCAAAAAGGGAAAGGACAAAAAAAACUAGUUUCAUUUGGCAAUUUCCACUGAUAAAGAAAAACUUCACUAGAACAGAAAUUCACGCACAAAGUCAGACAGCAUCAGUUAACAGCCGGGAGGGGAUCAAGAUGACAGAAUGUACAGGAAAUACCAAGAAGCAAAUGCACUCAUGGUUUAACAAUCAGAUUUGUCAUUCCCAAAGACAGUUGGGAGAGAAAAAGCACACCAAAUACAUAGCGUUUGACAUUGAUCAUCUAACCCUACAAGCUGCAGGACCACCUGGGGAGCAAUUAGGAUUAGGUGACCGACAACUUGAACCAGGACCAACAUUGUU
This 340-nucleotide unclassified non-coding RNA is filed under the name Hevea brasiliensis (rubber tree). Lineage: Eukaryota; Viridiplantae; Streptophyta; Magnoliopsida; Malpighiales; Euphorbiaceae. The record is from RNAcentral.